Long non-coding RNA from Rhinichthys klamathensis goyatoka, 322 nucleotides. RefSeq lists it as uncharacterized. The record is from RefSeq and is a predicted model, not a curated record. Lineage: Eukaryota; Metazoa; Chordata; Actinopteri; Cypriniformes; Leuciscidae. The transcript is spliced from 3 exons.
AGAAAAUAGUGGUGACAAAGCUGGUGACUCUCACUGAUGAGGUCAAAAAACUCCAGAGGAGCUUACCUAAGUCUGGGAUUGAUAUAAGCAAGAUUGACACCUUGGAAGAGUUCGAGAGGGAGGAGGCUUCUCUUCUUGGAGAAAAACAAAUUUGAAACCUUGGUUUGUCAGCUGGCAAGAGUCGGGGGGAAAGAUGUAAAAGACUGCACGCACAAAGUGAUGGACAGGCCCUUCACCAAUCAGCUGAUGACCUUUUUUAAUAUGAAGGGGAAGGGCAAAAAGGAUCAAAUUGGAAUUGAAGACAAGAAAUUGUUUUCAGCAA